ACUGGCGACCGGCGCACGGGUGAGUAACACGUAUCCAACCUGCCUCAUACUCGGGGAUAGCCUUUCGAGAGAAAGAUUAAUAUCCGAUAGCAUAUAUUUCCCGCAUGGGUUUUAUAUUAAAGAAAUUCGGUAUGAGAUGGGGAUGCGUUCCAUUAGUUUGUUGGGGGGGUAACGGCCCACCAAGACUACGAUGGAUAGGGGUUCUGAGAGGAAGGUCCCCCACAUUGGAACUGAGACACGGUCCAA
Molecule: ribosomal RNA, 246 nt
Filed under: uncultured bacterium
Lineage: Bacteria
Description: partial 16S ribosomal RNA
Rfam family: Bacterial small subunit ribosomal RNA
Source: RNAcentral